RNAcentral lists this ribosomal RNA (465 nucleotides) under Vreelandella stevensii. Its description in RNAcentral is "partial 16S ribosomal RNA". It matches the Rfam family "Bacterial small subunit ribosomal RNA", at positions 338 to 795 of the family's 1533-position model. Lineage: Bacteria; Pseudomonadati; Pseudomonadota; Gammaproteobacteria; Oceanospirillales; Halomonadaceae. The record is from RNAcentral.
CCUACGGGGGGCUGCAGUGGGGAAUAUUGGACAAUGGGGGCUACCCUGAUCCAGCCAUGCCGCGUGUGUGAAGAAGGCCCUCGGGUUGUAAGGCACUUUCAGUGAGGAAGAACGCCUGGUGGUUAAUACCCAUCAGGAAAGACAUCACUCACAGAAGAAGCACCGGCUAACUCCGUGCCAGCAGCCGCGGUAAUACGGAGGGUGCGAGCGUUAAUCGGAAUUACUGGGCGUAAAGCGCGCGUAGGUGGCUUGAUAAGCCGGUUGUGAAAGCCCCGGGCUCAACCUGGGAACGGCAUCCGGAACUGUCAAGCUAGAGUGCAGGAGAGGAAGGUAGAAUUCCCGGUGUAGCGGUGAAAUGCGUAGAGAUCGGGAGGAAUACCAGUGGCGAAGGCGGCCUUCUGGACUGACACUGACACUGAGGUGCGAAAGCGUGGGUAGCAAACAGGAUUAGAUACCCGGGUAGUC